Molecule: unclassified non-coding RNA, 374 nt
Filed under: uncultured Gammaproteobacteria bacterium
Lineage: Bacteria; Pseudomonadati; Pseudomonadota; Gammaproteobacteria
Description: contains 16S-23S intergenic spacer region
Source: RNAcentral
UCCGGUUUGUCACCGGCAGUCUCCCUAGAGUGCCCUUGCGUAGCAACUAGGGACAAGGGUUGCGCUCGUUGCGGGACUUAACCCAACAUCUCACGACACGAGCUGACGACAGCCAUGCAGCACCUGUGUUACGGCUCCCUUUCGGGCACACCCCCAUCUCUGGAGGCUCUCGGACAUGUCAAGGGUAGGUAAGGUUUUUCGCGUUGCAUCGAAUUAAUCCACAUCAUCCACCGCUUGUGCGGGUCCCCGUCAAUUCCUUUGAGUUUUAAUCUUGCGGUCGUACUCCCCAGGCGGGGCACUUAAUGCGUUAGCUACGGCACUGCCGGGGUCGAUACCGACAACACCUAGUGCCCAUUGUUUACGGCUAGGACUAA